RNAcentral lists this ribosomal RNA (262 nucleotides) under uncultured bacterium. RNAcentral's name for it is "partial 16S ribosomal RNA". It matches the Rfam family "Bacterial small subunit ribosomal RNA", at positions 793 to 1055 of the family's 1533-position model. The record is from RNAcentral.
GUCCACGCCGUAAACGUUGGGCACUAGGUGUGGGACUCUAUCGACGGGUUCCGUGCCGUAGCUAACGCAUUAAGUGCCCCGCCUGGGGAGUACGGCCGCAAGGCUAAAACUCAAAGGAAUUGACGGGGGCCCGCACAAGCGGCGGAGCAUGUGGCUUAAUUCGAUGCAACGCGAAGAACCUUACCUGGGUUGAACUAUGCAGGAAAAGCCGUAGAGAUACGGUGUCCUUCGGGGCCUGUGAUAGGUGGUGCAUGGCUGUCGU